This 712-nucleotide ribosomal RNA is filed under the name uncultured Flavisolibacter sp. RNAcentral's name for it is "bacterial SSU rRNA". It matches the Rfam family "Bacterial small subunit ribosomal RNA", at positions 94 to 803 of the family's 1533-position model. Lineage: Bacteria; Pseudomonadati; Bacteroidota; Chitinophagia; Chitinophagales; Chitinophagaceae. The record is from RNAcentral.
ACCGGCAAACGGGUGCGGAACACGUACGCAACUUACCCUUAUCCGGGGCAUAGCCCGAAGAAAUUCGGAUUAACACCCCAUAGUAUCAGUUGGUGGCAUCACCGGUUGAUUAAAAAUUUAUUGGAUAGGGAUGGGCGUGCGUCCUAUUAGGUAGUUGGUGCGGGUAACGGCCCACCAAGCCAGCGAUAGGUAGCUGAUGUGAGAGCAUGAUCAGCCACACGGGCACUGAGACACGGGCCCGACUCCUACGGGAGGCAGCAGUAAGGAAUAUUGGUCAAUGGACGCAAGUCUGAACCAGCCAUGCCGCGUGGAGGAUGAAGGCCCUCUGGGUUGUAAACUUCUUUUAUCUGGGACGAAACCCUCAUAUUCUUAUGAGACUGACGGUACCAGAGGAAUAAGCACCGGCUAACUCCGUGCCAGCAGCCGCGGUAAUACGGAGGGUGCAAGCGUUAUCCGGAUUCACUGGGUUUAAAGGGUGCGUAGGAGGGCAGGUAAGUCAGUGGUGAAAUCUCCAAGCUUAACUUGGAAACUGCCGUUGAUACUAUCUGUCUUGAAUAUUGUGGAGGUGAGCGGAAUAUGUCAUGUAGCGGUGAAAUGCUUAGAUAUGACAUAGAACACCAAUUGCGAAGGCAGCUCACUACACAAUCAUUGACUCUGAGGCACGAAAGCGUGGGGAUCAAACAGGAUUAGAUACCCUGGUAGUCCACGCCCU